Molecule: ribosomal RNA, 546 nt
Filed under: Fusarium decemcellulare
Lineage: Eukaryota; Fungi; Ascomycota; Sordariomycetes; Hypocreales; Nectriaceae
Description: eukaryotic LSU rRNA
Rfam family: 5.8S ribosomal RNA (bases 183-336)
Source: RNAcentral
GAACCUGCGGAGGGAUCAUUACCGAGUUUACAACUCCCAAACCCCUGUGAACAUACCUAUAAUUUGCCUCGGCAGACUCAACGACGGUGCUCCGAGAAAUCGGGCGCCGCUCGCUGCCAGAGGAACCCCAAACUCUAUGUAUUCUUGUGGAUCUUCUGAGUAAAACAAAACAAAUAAAUCAAAACUUUCAACAACGGAUCUCUUGGUUCUGGCAUCGAUGAAGAACGCAGCGAAAUGCGAUAAGUAAUGUGAAUUGCAGAAUUCAGUGAAUCAUCGAAUCUUUGAACGCACAUUGCGCCCGCCAGUAUUCUGGCGGGCAUGCCUGUUCGAGCGUCAUUUCAACCCUCAAGCCCCCCGGGCUUGGUGUUGGGGAUCGGCGAUAGUCGCCGUCCCCCAAAUCUAGUGGCGGUCUCGCUGUAGCCUCCAUUGCGUAGUAGCUAACACCUCGCAACUGGAACGCGGCGCGGCCAAGCCGUUAAACCCCCAACUUCUGAAUGUUGACCUCGGAUCAGGUAGGAAUACCCGCUGAACUUAAGCAUAUCAAUA